RNAcentral lists this ribosomal RNA (551 nucleotides) under Scopulariopsis brumptii. RNAcentral's name for it is "eukaryotic LSU rRNA". It matches the Rfam family "Eukaryotic large subunit ribosomal RNA", at positions 98 to 668 of the family's 3401-position model. RNAcentral also lists the same sequence under 1 other name. The record is from RNAcentral. Lineage: Eukaryota; Fungi; Ascomycota; Sordariomycetes; Microascales; Microascaceae.
GCGGCAACAGCUCAAAUUUGAAAUCUGGUCCCCUUGCGGGGCCCGAGUUGUAAUUUGAAGAGGAUGCUUCUGGCAAGGUGCCUUCCGAGUUCCCUGGAACGGGACGCCGCAGAGGGUGAGAGCCCCGUACGGUAGGACGCCGAGCCUCUGUGAAGCUCCUUCGACGAGUCGAGUAGUUUGGGAAUGCUGCUCAAAAUGGGAGGUAAACCCCUUCUAAAGCUAAAUACCGGCCAGAGACCGAUAGCGCACAAGUAGAGUGAUCGAAAGAUGAAAAGCACUUUGAAAAGAGAGUUAAAAAGCACGUGAAAUUGUUGAAAGGGAAGCGCUUGCGACCAGACUCGCGCCCGUCGGAUCAGCCGUCGCUUGUCGGCGGCGCACUCCGGCGGGCUCGGGCCAGCAUCAGUUCGCCUCGGGGGGAGAAAGGCGGCAGGAAUGUGGCUCCUCGGAGUGUUAUAGCCUGCCGUGUAAUACCCCCGGGCGGACUGAGGACCGCGCGUAUGCAAGGAUGCUGGCGUAAUGGUCGUCAGCGACCCGUCUUGAAACACGGACCA